GGAGCAGUCCAGGUGAACGCUGGCCACCGCAGGCACGGGUGGCGGGAGGAAAGUCCGAGCUCCAGGAAGGGCAGGGUGCUGGCUAACGGCCAGUCGGGGUGACUCGCAGGACAGUGCCACAGAAAACAGACCGCCUUCCCUCACGGGGAGGUCAGGGUGAAACGGUGCGGUAAGAGCGCACCGCGUUCGGCGUGAGUCGAACGGCACGGCAAACCCCACCCGGAGCAAGAGCCAACAGGGAGCCGCUGGCGUCGCAAGGCGCUGGCAGGGGUGGCCCACCUCACGCUCCCGGGUCGCUCGCUGUCGAGGUUCCGCGGCAACGCGGGCCCUAGAUGAAUGUUCACCGCCGCCUCGGGAUGACCGGGGCGGAACAGAACUCGGCUUAUCGGACUGCUCCGGUU
Molecule: RNase P RNA, 401 nt
Filed under: Myxococcaceae bacterium
Lineage: Bacteria; Pseudomonadati; Myxococcota; Myxococcia; Myxococcales; Myxococcaceae
Description: RNase P RNA component class A
Rfam family: Bacterial RNase P class A
About the family: Ribonuclease P (RNase P) is a ubiquitous endoribonuclease, found in archaea, bacteria and eukarya as well as chloroplasts and mitochondria.
Source: RNAcentral